GACGAACGCUGGCGGCGUGCUUAACACAUGCAAGUCGAACGGAAAGGCCCUGCUUUUGUGGGGUUCUCGAGUGGCGAACGGGUGAGUAACACGUGAGUAACCUGCCCUUGACUUUGUGAUAACUUCAGGAAACUGGGGCUAAUACCGGAUAGGAGCUCCUGCUGCAUGGUGGGGGUUGGAAAGUUUCGGCGGUUGUGGAUGGACUCGCGGCUUAUCAGCUUGUUGGUGUGGUAGUGGCUUACCAAGGCUUUGACGGGUAGCCGGCCUGAGAGGGGGACCGGCCACAAUGGGACUGAGAUACGGACCAGAAUGCUACGGGAGGCAGCAGGGGGGAAUAUUGCACAAUGGGCGGAAGCCUGAUGCAGAAACGCCGCGUGCGGGAUGACGGCCUUCGGGUUGUAAACCGAUGUCGCAUGUGACGAAGCGUGAGUGACGGUAAUGGGUAAAGAAGCACCGGCUAACUACGUG
This 468-nucleotide ribosomal RNA is filed under the name uncultured bacterium. RNAcentral's name for it is "partial 16S ribosomal RNA". It matches the Rfam family "Bacterial small subunit ribosomal RNA", at positions 28 to 507 of the family's 1533-position model. The record is from RNAcentral.